AAUAGAUACCCGGGUAGUCCACGCCGUAAACGAUGGAUGCUAGCUGUUAUGCGUAUCGACCCGUGUAGUAGCGAAGCUAACGCGUUAAGCAUCCCGCCUGGGGAAUACGAACGCAAGUUUAAAACUCAAAGGAAUUGACGGGGACCCGCACAAGCGGUGGAGCGUGUUCUUUAAUUCGAGGCUAAGCGAAGAACCUUACCAGGGCUUGACAUCCUUGGAAUUUCUCCGAAAGGAGAGAGUACUUUAUUGGACCAAGUGACAGGUGCUGCAUGGCCGUCGUCAGCUCGUGUCGUGAGAUGUUUGGUUAAGUCCAUUAACGAGCGCAACCCUUAUGAAUAGUUGUAUUUUUCUAUUCAGACUGCCCCGGUAACGGGGAGGAAGGGGGGGAUGAUGUCAGGUCAGUAUUGCCCUUACGCCCUGGGCUAGAAACGCGCUACAAUGGCCGGUACAAUGCGCUGCCAACCCGCGAGGGGGAGCAAAUCGCAUCAAAGCCGGUCCCAGUUCGGAUAAGAGGCUGAAACUCGCCUCUUGAAGCCGGAAUCGCUAGUAAUCGU
Molecule: ribosomal RNA, 554 nt
Filed under: uncultured bacterium
Lineage: Bacteria
Description: bacterial SSU rRNA
Rfam family: Bacterial small subunit ribosomal RNA
Source: RNAcentral